UCAAAGAUUAAGCCAUGCAUGUCUAAGUAUAAGCAAUUUAUACAGUGAAACUGCGAAUGGCUCAUUAAAUCAGUUAUCGUUUAUUUGAUAGUACCUUACUACUUGGAUAACCGUGGUAAUUCUAGAGCUAAUACAUGCUUAAAAUCCCGACUGUUUGGAAGGGAUGUAUUUAUUAGAUAAAAAAUCAAUGUCUUCGGACUCUUUGAUGAUUCAUAAUAACUUUUCGAAUCGCAUGGCCUUGUGCUGGCGAUGGUUCAUUCAAAUUUCUGCCCUAUCAACUUUCGAUGGUAGGAUAGUGGCCUACCAUGGUUUCAACGGGUAACGGGGAAUAAGGGUUCGAUUCCGGAGAGGGAGCCUGAGAAACGGCUACCACAUCCAAGGAAGGCAGCAGGCGCGCAAAUUACCCAAUCCCGACACGGGGAGGUAGUGACAAUAAAUAACGAUACAGGGCCCUUUCGGGUCUUGUAAUUGGAAUGAGUACAAUGUAAAUACCUUAACGAGGAACAAUUGGAGGGCAAGUCUGG
Molecule: ribosomal RNA, 524 nt
Filed under: uncultured Euplotes sp.
Lineage: Eukaryota; Ciliophora; Spirotrichea; Euplotida; Euplotidae
Description: SSU rRNA
Rfam family: Eukaryotic small subunit ribosomal RNA
Source: RNAcentral